UACGAAGGGGGCUAGCGUUGCUCGGAAUCACUGGGCUUAAAGCGCGUGUAGGCGGGAGGGCACGUCCGUUGCUGAAAUCCCCCGGCUCAACCGGGGAACGGGCGCGGAUACGACUCUCCUUGAGGGGCGUAGGGGGACCUGGAACUUCCGGUGGAGCGGUGAAAUGCGUUGAGAUCGGAAGGAACGCCCGUGGCGAAAGCGAGGUCCUGGACGCCUACUGACGCUGAGACGCGAAAGCCAGGGGAGCGAACGGG
RNAcentral lists this ribosomal RNA (254 nucleotides) under uncultured bacterium. RNAcentral's name for it is "partial 16S ribosomal RNA". It matches the Rfam family "Bacterial small subunit ribosomal RNA", at positions 524 to 776 of the family's 1533-position model. The record is from RNAcentral.